Molecule: ribosomal RNA, 221 nt
Filed under: Klebsiella pneumoniae
Lineage: Bacteria; Pseudomonadati; Pseudomonadota; Gammaproteobacteria; Enterobacterales; Enterobacteriaceae
Also listed under: 5 other names
Description: partial 23S ribosomal RNA
Rfam family: Bacterial large subunit ribosomal RNA
Source: RNAcentral
GGUUAAGCGACUAAGCGUACACGGUGGAUGCCCUGGCAGUCAGAGGCGAUGAAGGACGUGCUAAUCUGCGAAAAGCGUCGGUAAGGUGAUAUGAACCGUUAUAACCGGCGAUGUCCGAAUGGGGAAACCCAGUGCAAUUCGUUGCACUAUCGUUAACUGAAUACAUAGGUUAACGAGGCGAACCGGGGGAACUGAAACAUCUAAGUACCCCGAGGAAAAGA